Molecule: transfer RNA, 74 nt
Filed under: Nakamurella sp.
Lineage: Bacteria; Bacillati; Actinomycetota; Actinomycetes; Nakamurellales; Nakamurellaceae
Also listed under: 2 other names
Description: tRNA-Gly
Rfam family: tRNA
About the family: Transfer RNA (tRNA) molecules are approximately 80 nucleotides in length.
Source: RNAcentral
GCGGGCGUAGUUCAGUGGUAGAACUUCAGCUUCCCAAGCUGAUAGCGCGAGUUCGAUUCUCGUCGCCCGCUCCA